This is a long non-coding RNA of Astatotilapia calliptera (eastern happy), 1294 nucleotides long. The record is from Ensembl. NCBI's taxonomy places the organism in Eukaryota, Metazoa, Chordata, Actinopteri, Cichliformes, Cichlidae.
AGUCCCGACAGUUGACUGCCCCCUCUAGAGCCUGGUUCUGUCAUAGGUUUCUUCCUUUAAAGGGAGUUUUUCCUAUCCACUGUCGCCUCGUGCUUGCUCAGAGGGGAUUGUUGGGGUUUUCUCUCCUCUCUCCCUUUACAUCCCACCCACCCCCACCUUUUCUUUUUUCUUAAUAAUUGAACAAUAAAAACAAUUGGCCGCUAAUUAAAUGUGUCAAAUCAAUGUCUUUAUUCAAGAAUACAAGAAAUGGGUAAUAGCUGCAUGUGUGUUUGUGUGUGUGCAUAAUAUGCAUACUUUACGUGUUGGAUCCAAAUCCCACAAGGAAUUAAAUAAAACAAGAAGACAAACAAAAACAAAUAUUUCUCUCCCUUCCCAGGUCAGGAAUCAGGAUGAGGAAGAAAUGAGGUCAGAUCAGUGCAGGUUUUUGCACUACUGACAUAAAGUUUCUGCUGAUUAAAAAAAGUAUGUCGAUAUUUCUGAAAUACAUUUGCAAACAAAUAACUUUGACAACUUGUGUUUUUUCAUAAAAGAAAAAUCAGAGAGCAGAGCUGGUAAAACAGCUUAGCUCCGCAGGUUACAGGAGAUCAGAUGCCAAAUACUUUUCAUGACAGUCUUCGUUAUUGCAUAAAUCUCCCCUUUUAUCAUUGAUCAGUAAAUCACUGCAUAUACAUUCAUCUAACCGUUAUAAUUUCAUGAGGAAAGAUUCUCAGAUGACUGAAUGGCGGUUUUAGUAAAUGUUGAACUUUAUUGUGAUUUCUAUUUUUAGAAUCAAUAGCACACAUUUUGAUUUAGUUUUGCAAGCUGCUGAUUUCACACAGAUCCACUGCCCAAACGUGCCUUUGAGUUUUUCAUCAUUUAACAAGAAUAGGCUCAGGCAAUCAUUGUGUAAUUAGGCUUUGGGAAGGUCUGGGGACAGGCAAUCAUUGUGUAAUUAGGCUUUGGGAAGGUCUGGGGACAGGUAUGAUGGUGGUGGUUUUAAAGCACUGUGGCACAACCGCUUGACUCAGGGAGAUGUUAAAGAUGCCUGCUAGGACAUCAGUCAGCUGGUCAGCACGGGCUCUGAGCACGCGUCCAGGUAUAUUGUCUGGUCCAGCAGCUUUGUGUGGGUUGACUUUAGUGAGAGUCCUUCUCACACUGGCCGUGGACAGGGACAGCACUUGGUUGUCUGGCAAGGGGGUGGCCCUCUAUAGUCCGUCUUGCGUCCCAUUUAAACAAGUGCGUGUUCACACUGCCCCUGGAUGUCCUGGCCUCUGAGGUUAAGGUGUACGGCUCCUGGUUGUCAACUGACCAAUUU